CUACUAUUAUCCUGCUGCUUUGCAAUAGGUCGUUGGAGAGCAUAACUAGCCAGGUUUUUCUCUUAACCUGCUCCUGGAAACCCUUUCUAACCGCAUAUUUUGUUCUUAAUUCUUUUCUGCUGACUUCAGUUAACUGCGAAUUUCCCAUCGGUUGUUUUUUGUUUUUGUUUGUUCAUGUCUUUACUGUUCUAGUGGGGCUUGAUUUUCUUCUUUGUAGAGUACUGAAGUUACUUAGCAAAUGAGCGUACGCUGGUUUUCUUGGUUGUGGGGAUUACUCGUGAUCGCACGCUAACAGGUUUCCACCUUAGUCCAUUGCUUGUGAUCAGGCAAGUUCACUUGUGAUGAGGCAAUUGGUAACCAUCUUGCGUAGUGACCUGGGUGUAGUCAAAUCUACUGUCUUUGGUGGUAGGUGUACAAAUUACCACCAGUGGUCCGCUGUGCCUAUGGGGUGACAUUUUAGUCUGCCCUGGGAACUAGUUUGUAAAGCCUCCUGUGAAACUGGCUCUUAGGGCUUUGGGGUUGAAAUGCUGAGGCCUGAUAUAGGUCAACGUUGAUUCAGGGACUAUGGUUGUAGAUCACAAUCUUGCAGUAUAUCCUAUGUUUCUAGUAUUAAUGGUACCUAUGAGAUGUAGUUAACUGAUAUUUUGCUAUAUGAGGAGGAAUACAUUUAUUUCAGUGAUUACCUGCCGAGCUAUGUUAUAAUGUUGAUUGUGCUACAGUAAUGGUAGUACAAUAUCUUUCUUUAUCAUGAUAGAAUUUUUACUGUAAUGUGUUUUACCAGGCUAAGCGUGCUGCAAGGGACCAAAGAGGCCUGUGGUGCACCAAAACAG
Molecule: long non-coding RNA, 830 nt
Filed under: Gallus gallus (chicken)
Lineage: Eukaryota; Metazoa; Chordata; Aves; Galliformes; Phasianidae
Source: RNAcentral